RNAcentral lists this ribosomal RNA (484 nucleotides) under uncultured bacterium. Its description in RNAcentral is "partial 16S ribosomal RNA". It matches the Rfam family "Bacterial small subunit ribosomal RNA", at positions 30 to 507 of the family's 1533-position model. The record is from RNAcentral.
AUUGAACGCUGGCGGCAGGCCUAACACAGGCCAGUCGAGCGGAUGAAGGGGGCUUGCUCCUGGAUUCAGCGGCGGACGGGUGGGUAAUGCCUAGGAAUCUGCCUGGUAGUGGGGGAUAACGUCCGGAAACGGACGCUCAUCCCGCAUCCGUCCUGAUGUAGAAAGUGGUGGAUCUUCGGACCUCACGCUAUCAGAUGAGCCUAGGUCGUAUUAGCUAGUUGGUGUGGUAAAGGCCUACCAAGGCGACGAUCCGUAACUGGUCUGAGAGGAUGAUCAGUCACACUGGAACUGAGACACGGUCCAGACUCCUACGGGAGGCAGCAGUGGGGAAUCUUGGACAAUGGGCGAAAGCCUGAUCCAGCCACGCCGCGUGUGUGAAGAAGGUCUUCGGAUCGUAAAGCACUUUAAGUUGGGAGGAAGGACAGUAAGUUAAUACCUGGCUGUCUCGACGGUACCUAAAGAAUAAGCACCGGCUAACUUCGUG